UUGGACAGAUGAGAAGACUGAGGCUCAGAGAGAUUGAGACGUUUGUCCAAGGUCACACAGCCUUGAUACACACUGCUACUUCCCUACAGCCCAUUGCUAAUAAGCAAGUAACACUUUAUGGCACAGACAAGGUUUACAAACAGGAGGAGGCCUUUGAUCAGAACCAACCCCCGGGGUCCGGAGUGUUUAUUGUUCCAAGCUGCAAGUCAGGACCGGACUCUGCUUUGAACUCCAGCAGGAAGACUGAGGACAUACAGAAAAGCACACACAUCAUAAUAUGUAUGCACCUUGAUGAAGUUUUACAACCGAAUCCACCCAUGUAAUGAGCACUGAGCUCAAGAAAUAGACCUGACCCGUUUCCCAGGUGCCCCCAGAGCCUGCUCCAAGCCACUGCCCCUCUCCGAAGCCAGUCUCCUAACGUCAGGACUGUAUU
Molecule: long non-coding RNA, 433 nt
Organism: Myotis brandtii (Brandt's bat)
Lineage: Eukaryota; Metazoa; Chordata; Mammalia; Chiroptera; Vespertilionidae
Exons: 3
Source: RefSeq, a predicted model, not a curated record